UAAACUGACUAUAAAAUGGAAGAAGCGC
This 28-nucleotide non-coding RNA is filed under the name Bombyx mori (domestic silkworm). The record is from RNAcentral. Lineage: Eukaryota; Metazoa; Arthropoda; Insecta; Lepidoptera; Bombycidae.